This 326-nucleotide ribosomal RNA is filed under the name uncultured eukaryote. RNAcentral describes it as "partial 18S ribosomal RNA". It matches the Rfam family "Eukaryotic small subunit ribosomal RNA", at positions 1470 to 1796 of the family's 1831-position model. The record is from RNAcentral.
CCCUUAGAUGUCCUGGGCCGCACGCGCGCUACACUGAGUGUCUGAGAUACGAGUCUGCCUGGUCCGGCAAGGUCUAGGUAAUCGCUAAAAGACACAUCAUGCUUGGGAUAGAUUAUUGUAAAUAUUAAUCUUGAACGAGGAAUUCCUAGUAAGCGCGAGUCAUCAGCUCGUGCUGAUUACGUCCCUGCCCUUGUACACACCGCCCGUCGCUCCUACCGAUUGAGUGAUUCGGUGAAUAAUUCGGACUGCAGCAUUGCUUGGAUUCCGAGCUUUGCAGCGGAAAGUUUAGUGAACCUCAUCACUUAGAGGAAGGAGAAGUCGUAACA